AACGAACGCUGGCGGCAUGCCUAAAACAUGCAAGUCGAACGAGACCUUCGGGUCUAGUGGCGCACGGGUGCGUAACGCGUGGGAACCUGCCCUUAGGUUCGGAAUAACUCCCCGAAAGGGGUGCUAAUACCGGAUAAUGUCUUCGGACCAAAGAUUUAUCGCCUUUGGAUGGGCCCGCGUUGGAUUAGCUAGUUGGUAGGGUAAAAGCCUACCAAGGCGACGAUCCAUAGCUGGUCUGAGAGGAUGAUCAGCCACACUGGGACUGAGACACGGCCCAGACUCCUACGGGAGGCAGCAGUGGGGAAUAUUGGACAAUGGGCGAAAGCCUGAUCCAGCAAUGCCGCGUGAGUGAUGAAGGCCUUAGGGUUGUAAAGCUCUUUUACCCGGGAUGAUAAUGACAGUACCGGGAGAAUAAGCUCCGGCUAACUCCGUG
Molecule: ribosomal RNA, 433 nt
Filed under: uncultured bacterium
Lineage: Bacteria
Description: partial 16S ribosomal RNA
Rfam family: Bacterial small subunit ribosomal RNA
Source: RNAcentral